RNAcentral lists this long non-coding RNA (293 nucleotides) under Ananas comosus (pineapple). RNAcentral's name for it is "long non-coding RNA (ACOM_LNC043533)". Lineage: Eukaryota; Viridiplantae; Streptophyta; Magnoliopsida; Poales; Bromeliaceae. The record is from RNAcentral.
AUUUGGUUCCAGUUAUGUAAUGUUACAGAGUAUUUCAAUAUAUUCAGGUAUCUUAGAUUUCUAAAUGAGAUUACUACUGAUAGCAUUAGUACGUUUGGUUUAAUACAGUAAUAUAAUGCUGGAUUGCAGUAUUUAUACCAUUACUAUAUUUGGUUCUGUUUAUAAAAUUUAGUAAUUUAGACAAUAAAAUAUAGUCUAUUACAAAAUUGCCCCUAGUCAUAUUUCGUAAAUUUUUUUUUACUGAUUACAAACAAUAUUUUUUUACCAAAUUUUAUUUUAAAUAAUUUAAUUUU